GGGUACUUUGGAGGGACUCUGACGCAGCGACGCCGCGUGAGCGAUGAAGGUCUUCGGAUCGUAAAGCUCUGUCCUUGGGGAAGAAGGGCGCUGUUCCGCGUGGUGGAGGCCCCCCUAACUGGAGGCCCCGGCUAGUUGCUAUAAACCGGCCUAGGAAUUAAUA
Molecule: ribosomal RNA, 163 nt
Filed under: uncultured bacterium
Lineage: Bacteria
Description: partial 16S ribosomal RNA
Source: RNAcentral